RNAcentral lists this ribosomal RNA (500 nucleotides) under uncultured bacterium. RNAcentral's name for it is "partial 16S ribosomal RNA". It matches the Rfam family "Bacterial small subunit ribosomal RNA", at positions 30 to 523 of the family's 1533-position model. The record is from RNAcentral.
AUUGAACGCUGGCGGCAUGCCUUACACAUGCAAGUCGAACGGCAGCACGGACUUCGGUCUGGUGGCGAGUGGCGAACGGGUGAGUAAAACAUCGGAACGUGCCCAGUCGUGGGGGAUCACGUAGCGAAAGCUACGCUAAUACCGCAUACGAUCUAAGGAUGAAAGCGGGGGAUCGCAAGACCUCGAGCGAUUGGGGCGGCCGAUGGCAGACUAGGUAGUUGGUAGGGUAAAGGCCUGCCAAGCCGACGAUCUGUAGCUGGUCUGAGAGGCUGAUCAGCCACACUGGGACUGAGACACGGCCCAGACUCCUACGGGAGGCAGCAGUGGGGAAUUUUGGACAAUGGGCGCAAGCCUGAUCCAGCCAUUCCGCGUGCAGGAUGAAGGCCUUCGGGUUGUAUACUGCUUUUGUACAGAUCGAAGAGGCUCUGGUUAAUACCCGGGACUCAUGACGGGACUGUAAGAAUAAGCACCGGCUAUCUACGUGCCAGCAGCCGCAGUAA